Non-coding RNA from Nylanderia fulva, 1130 nucleotides. The record is from RefSeq and is a predicted model, not a curated record. Lineage: Eukaryota; Metazoa; Arthropoda; Insecta; Hymenoptera; Formicidae.
UGGCAUUCCUGAAGGAUGUGCUAUUGAUCAUUCGCAAAUCAGUUCACCGAGAGUGCAAGAUUUCUCAAGAGGGAUUAAUUUUGAGAAACAUUCCCUUGACAGCGACAUAAUAAUUACUCCUUCUUCAAGAUUGUCAGUUAGCUCACUGAUAGAUAGUAGAUUUAUUAGAAUUUUUAACCCCUGAUGCUAGUGGAAUGUCUGGCAUUCCUGAAGGAUGUGCUAUUGAUCAUUCGCAAUUCAGUUCACCGAGAGUGCAAGAUUUCUCAAGAGGGAUUAAUUUUGAGAAACAUUCCCUUGACAGCGACAUAAUGAUUACUCCUUCUUCAAGAUUGUCAGUUAGCUCACUGAUAGAUAGUAGAUUUAUUAGAAUUUUUAACCCCUGAUGCUAGUGGAAUGUCUGGCAUUCCUGAAGGAUGUGCUAUUGAUCAUUCGCAAAUCAGUUCACCGAGAGUGCAAGAUUUUUCAAGAGGGAUUAAUUUUGAGAAACAUUCCCUUGACAGCGACAUAAUAAUUACUCCUUUACUUAUGGUGGUGAUUUGUUGCAAAGGGAAAGUGAAGGUAUAUUUUAUGCGAUAUACGCAACUUCCUGGUUUACGCUUCCUUUAACGCUGAUGAAGGACAUUCACUUCGCAAUAAUGAAGUCAAGCAUUCCGUUUCGGUUAACUGGUGGAAAAUUUUUCUACGUUAAUCGCGAAACAAUGAUGAACAUCCUCAAGACAACAUAUUCUUAUAUUUCUGUUCUACGUAUAGCACUACUAACAAAAUAAUUUUGAAUUCGAGUGAAAAUGCGAUGCGUACAUUUCAAUAUGUGUCAGUUUGUGUGUGAAUAUGUUUGUAUGUAUAUGAUAAGAUUUAAAGUAUGCAGAAAGCAAUAUUAUAUAAAAAUUCAUAUUCAUAAAGAAUGCAAAUAUUUAAUUAAAGUAUUUUGAGACAUACACUUCUCCAUGCAGUAAUUUAAAUAUUUUAAAAUUAUUUAGUUGCAUCAAUAGUCUUAUAUCGAUAACGUAUUUUGCUUAUAUUUAUGUGAUAUUGGAUCUUACAUCAAGUAGAAAGUAUUAUAUAUAUUUAUUAAAAUUAAUAAAUUCAUUAAAAUAUUACAGCAAUGUCAACCUUUUACGCACAGAUGAUUA